AUUGAGAGUUUGAUCCUGGCUCAGGAUGAACGCUGGCGGCGUGGAUAAGGCAUGCAAGUCGAGCGGGCUGUUAUCUUCGGAUAAUAGUCAGCGGCGAACGGGUUAGUAACGCGUAGGUAUUUACCUCUGUCUCGGGCAUAACCCGCCGAAAGGCGGGCUAAUUCCCGAUAGUCUCUUUGGAGUAAAGAUUAAGAGCAAUCUUUUUUGGACAGAGAGAAGCCUGCGUCCUAUCAGCUUGUUGGUAGGGUAACGGCCUACCAAGGCGAUGACGGGUAGGGGGUGUGAGAGCAUGGCCCCCAACAAUGGGACUGCGAACGGCCCAUACACCUACGGGUGGCAGCAGUCGAGAAUCUUUGGCAAUGGGCGAAAGCCUGACCAAGCGACGCCGCGUGAACGAAGAAGCCCUUCGGGGUGUAAAGUUCUUUUAUUAGGGAAAAAUAGGAUUUUUCCUAUGAUGGUACCUAAUGAAUAAGGGGCUGCUAAACUCGUCCAGCAGCAGCGGUAAGACGAGUGCCCCAAGCGUUAUCCGGAAUUAUUGGGCGUAAAGCGUGAGUAGGCGGUUUUGAUAGUGGGUGGUUAAAUUUCGGGGCUCAACCCCGAAGCCGCCAUCCAAACGUCAAAACUAGAGCAGGUGAGAGGCUGAUGGAACCUACCAAGUAGGGGUGAAAUCCGUUGAUAUGGUAGGGAACACCAAAGGCGAAGGCAUUCAGCUGGCGCCUGGCUGACGCUGAAUCACGAAAGCGUGGGGAGAAAAAAGGAUUAGAUACCCUUGUAUUCCACGCCCUAAACGAUGCCAACUAGCCGUCGGGAGUAUCGACCCUCUCGGUGGCGAAGCUAACGCGUUAAGUUGGCCGCCUGGGAAUUACGGCCGCAAGGCUAAAACUCAAAGGAAUAGACGGGGAUUCGCACAAGCGGUGGACCAUGUGGUUCAAUUCGAUUCUAAGCGAGGAACCUUACCGGGGUUAGACUCCCUGAUGAAAAACUUGAGAAAUCAGGUUUGUCUUACAAGGACAUCAGGGUCAGGUGAUGCACGGUUAUUUUACCCCGAAUACAGUCGUCAGUCUGAGAUGUGAAUUGCUCCCUUAAGUGGGGUAUCAGACGCAACCCUUAUGCUGUGUUAUAUGUGUCACAGCAGACUGCCUCCGGAUAGGAGGAGGAAGGCGAGGAUGACGUCAAAUCAGCGUGUCCCUUAUGCCCCGGGCCACACACGUGGUACAAUGGCCGCUACAAAGGGUUUGCCAAGCCGCAAGGCGGAGCUAAUCCCAUCAAAAGCGGUCUCAGUUCGGAUUGAGGGCUGCAACUCGCCCUCAUGAAGCCGGAAUCGCUAGUAAUCGUGAAUCAGCCAUGUCACGGUGAAUACGUUCCCGAAUCUUGUACUCACUGCCCAUCAAUCUAGAAAAGUGGGGAAUACCCGAAAUCUUCAUUUAUUGGGGACUAAGGUAAGCUCCAUAAUUAGAGAUAAGUUGUAACAAGGCACCGGUAGCGGAAGCUGUCGGUGGAUCACCUCCUU
This 1510-nucleotide ribosomal RNA is filed under the name Parcubacteria group bacterium GW2011_GWF2_38_8. Its description in RNAcentral is "bacterial SSU rRNA". It matches the Rfam family "Bacterial small subunit ribosomal RNA". The record is from RNAcentral.